Phrynosoma platyrhinos (Desert horned lizard) is the source of this 72-nucleotide non-coding RNA. The record is from the annotation of a GenBank genome assembly. Lineage: Eukaryota; Metazoa; Chordata; Lepidosauria; Squamata; Phrynosomatidae.
GGCAAUGUGGUAUAGCGGUUUGAGUGUUGGACUAUAAUUCUGGAGACCAGGAUUUGAUUCCCUGCUCAGCCA